Molecule: ribosomal RNA, 481 nt
Filed under: uncultured bacterium
Lineage: Bacteria
Description: partial 16S ribosomal RNA
Rfam family: Bacterial small subunit ribosomal RNA
Source: RNAcentral
GAUGAACGCUGGCGGCGUGCCUAACACAUGCCAGUCGAACGGAGAUUACGGACGGAAGUUUUCGGAUGGAAGACUGUAAUUCUUAGUGGCGGACGGGUGAGUAACGCGUGGGCAACCUGCCCUAUACAGGGGGAUAGCAGCUGGAAACGGCUGGUAAGACCGCAUAAGUCGGUUAAAUCGCAUGAUUUGAUCGGGAAAUGAGCAAUCAGGUAUAGGAUGGGUCCGCGUCCGAUUAGCCAGUUGGCAGGGUAAAAGCCUACCAAAGCGACGAUCGGUAGCCGGACUGAGAGGUCGGACGGCCACAUUGGGACUGAGACACGGCCCAAACUCCUACGGGAGGCAGCAGUGGGGGAUAUUGCACAAUGGAGGAAACUCUGAUGCAGCGACGCCGCGUGAGUGAAGAAGUAUUUCGGUAUGUAAAGCUCUAUCAGCAGGGAAGAUGAUGACGGUACCUGACUAAGAAGCCCCGGCUAACUACGUG